This 440-nucleotide ribosomal RNA is filed under the name uncultured bacterium. RNAcentral's name for it is "partial 16S ribosomal RNA". It matches the Rfam family "Bacterial small subunit ribosomal RNA", at positions 338 to 795 of the family's 1533-position model. The record is from RNAcentral.
CCUACGGGUGGCAGCAGUGGGGGAUAUUGCACAAUGGGGGAAACCCUGAUGCAGCGACGCCGCGUGGGUGAAGAAGCACCUCGGCGCGUAAAGCCCUGUCAGCAGGGAAGAAAAUGACGGUACCUGAAGAAGAAGCACUUGCCAAAUACGUGCCAGCAGCCGCGGUCAUACGGAGGGGCAAAGCGUUCGCCGGAUUUACUGGGGGUAAAGGGGGCGCAGACGGCGAUGCAAGCCAGGAGUGAAAGCCCGGGGCCCAACCCCGGAACUGCUCUUGGAACUGGGUGGCUAGAGUGCAGGAGAGGGAGGCGGAAUUCCAGGUGUAGCGGUGAAAUGCGUAGAGAUGUGGAGGAACACCGGUGGCGAAGGCGGCCCGCUGGACUACAACUGACGUUGAGGCGCGAAAGCGUGGGGAGCAAACAGGAUUAGAUACCCCAGUAGUC